Molecule: long non-coding RNA, 2309 nt
Organism: Taeniopygia guttata (zebra finch)
Lineage: Eukaryota; Metazoa; Chordata; Aves; Passeriformes; Estrildidae
Source: Ensembl
AAGACUUAUCUCUGUCAGUCCAGGUGACUCUGUAUAAAUUCUCACAGCAGAGAAUUACUACUACAAGUUUGCUGAGGUGUCUGAUCUCCAUUUCCACCCUGACCUGUUUGUUCCUAAUUCCCUGUAAAAACUGUUUUUUUUUCCAAAGGUGUACAAAGGACUGUAGGUAACAGCAGCUGCUCUCGGCUGUGUAACAGGAGUGCGGACUCAGACUGCUCAGUGUACAGUACAAAUUCACAUUAACACUGUGAGAUAAAUUCACAUUAACACUGUGAACUGCUGCUCUGAAGGGCUCUGUCCAUCCCUUACAAAUCUGACUUUUCAAGGAAUUAUUUUUAAAAAGGUGUGUAUGUGAAGAAGCCUCAUCUUUAACCAUGCUUGGCCACCCACUUUUAUCUGAAAUUCAAUUUAUCUGUUCUGUUAGGGACCCUGCUUAUUCCUAGAAUGGGAUUCAAACCAGCUGAGCUCCAGUUCCCUUUAAAACAUGGAGAGCCCUUCGGUUGUGUCAAAGUUUGUAACAAGUUGCUGUGAAGAGGAAACACAAUCCACAGACAAAGCAACAUCCCACUGACUUGUGAAAUGCUGAAGAAUUAUGUUAAUCUCAAAUUUGCUCAGCACCCUUACUGGAAUGGACUGAAAUAAUAACGAAUAGGAGGCAGGUGCCCGGGUGCCCAUAAAAAUCCCAGUCCUCUGGAUGUCUCGCAAGCUAACAGCCCUGUGACAGGCGGCCCCGCCCGCGACGACAGCGCGCCGGGACAGCGCGGGAGGGAGGCGGCACGGACCGAGGGGCUCCGGCCCGGCCCGCAGGACCCGCACCGACCCGCACCAACCCGGCCCGGCCCGGCCCGCAGGGACCCGCACCGACCCGGCCCGGCCCGGCCCGGCCCGCAGGGACCCGCACCGACCCGGCCCGGCCCGCAGGGACCCGCACCGACCCGCACCAACCCGGCCCGGCCCGGCCCGCAGGGACCCGCACCGACCCGGCCCGGCCCGGCCCCGGCUGCAGCUGCGGCGGCGCUCGGCUGGAGAGGACCCCGGGCCGAGAGCCGCAGGGCAGUGCCGGGUACUGCCCCGCGCCUGGAGCCGUGUUUGCUGCGAGCUCCGCUGCGUCUGAGCUCUGCGGGAUCACCUCACAAGGCAGGGGAGGUCACUGAUAUCUGGGACUAGGGGACCCACUGGACUGCUAUGAAGAGCUCUUUGCUCUUAAUGAACAAAGGCGCUGUGGGCCUGGAGACGCAGAAGUGACUUGCAGAGGAUCCUCUCAGAAGCUCAGCCUGUAAAGUGGUGAGUUUGGCCAUGUCACCACUGAUUUGUGUGGGGGUGAUGCAGAGCUGGGACUAGGAAGUGACACCUUUGUUGUCACACUGAAUGUGGGUUUGUGCUGCAGUAGGUCUGGAAAUGGUUGUAAACGUUCUGGUAGUAGUGGGCUUCUGUAGUGUUUGGCUCCUGUAGGGUACACUGAUUUCCCUGGAUUUCCCUGGGAAGAUGCCAGGCUGUUGAAGAUCUGGUGUUCCUUGGAGCUGGCAGAGGACUUGUGGCACAGGUACACUGGGGUUCCUAUGGGUUUUCAUCCUGACAGUGAGUAGGGAUAUGUUAUCUUCCCUUCCUGGCAGUGAGGCACUGUUGUUUGUGCUGUGAUACUUGCUGUAAAUCUAUUGCCUGUAUCAAAGUCUGUUUCUGUUAUGAAAAAUCUGUGGGAGUGUUUGUGGCCAUGGAAAGGCACAGACUGACCGGUUUUCUUGCUGCCAUCCCAUCCCUGCUGCUCCGAAGGGACAUGGGUUCACUCUCAUGCUCACUGGGGGGGCUUAAUGGCUAUUGCUCCCUUAGAAAAUAGGGAUGGUGUGUGUCUCCUCUUGGCCUUUGGUACCAGUGCCACUUUCAUACAUAAAUGGGUACAGGGUAUCUAGUUUGUGUUUCUGUGGAUCCUGAGCAAGCACUUAGGUCGUGUUCAUAAUCCCUGGGGCAGAGGAGAAGAUCAGGUCAGGUAUAGAUUUACCAAAGGGAUAAGUCACACAAAAUCUGAUCCUUGGGCAUUCCUCCCCACUCUGCACAAGACCUCCAUUCAUCACUGGAGAGCUUGUGACAUUCCCGCUCUGUGACCUGCUCAGAAGUUUUCAUGAAGUUUCCCUUCUGCAGUUUGCUGGCCUUCAGUUCUGUGGUUCUAACCAAAGCAUUUGAAAUUUUCCUUGAAAAUUGAUCUGAAAUGGGAACACUCAAGCUCAAAAGAUUACUUCAAGUUAACAAAAAAAACCACAGAAAGCCAACCCAAAGCGAAAAGAGAACUUCUAGGUGAAAUAUACUCACUGAGU